This is a long non-coding RNA of Camponotus floridanus (Florida carpenter ant), 672 nucleotides long. RefSeq lists it as uncharacterized. The record is from RefSeq and is a predicted model, not a curated record. Lineage: Eukaryota; Metazoa; Arthropoda; Insecta; Hymenoptera; Formicidae. The transcript has 4 exons.
AUCAAGCGAAUGGCAUAUACAGAGUGUUUCAAGAUUGCUUUCGUCCAAGGUCUCAAUAUACAAAUAUACAGCGCUUUCCAAAGUGUAGUUUAUCAUGGUUUUAUACGAAGAGUAUGUGGUUGUGACAUUUUUUAAAUCUAUUGUGUAAUUUCGAGGAUAAUAGAAGAGUUUAUGUAAUCUAACGCCAAUGGACAGCAUCGUACAGACCAAGCAAUUUGAAGAUGUUGGAUAAUAUUUCAUCAAAUUAUAAAAUGUAUUCAGAUAAAAGGUUUUAUACAAGAGAUUCAUUUUGUAUAAAUCAUGAUCGACAAAUUUACUUGAAAGAGAGUUUCUACGAUCUAACGCUAGUGGACAGCACCGUACAGACCAAGCAAUUUGAAGAUGGAUAACAUUUCAAUGUCAUCAAAUCGUAAAAUGUAUUCAGUUAUCCAGAACGUGCAUGUCUACAAGACAUUUUCAGAAGACAUUCCGAAGAAGUCGUAUUGUUUUAAAAAUGUUUUCGAGAAUAUCUUCUGGACGUUUUUUCGAUGCAUGCUGUCUGAGUGCACAUACGUAUAUAAUUAUAUAAUACUCUAAAUAUAUAAUUAGAAAUGUUGACAACAUAUGAUGUAGCUGCUUAUCAACAUCCAUAGGUCACGAGUAAACAAAUUGAUACAAAUCUCAUAAAAAUAA